UGGGGAAUUGUUCGCAAUGGGCGAAAGCCUGACGACGCAACGCCGCGUGGGGGAUGAAGGUCUUCGGAUUGUAAACCCCUGUCGUGUGGGAAGAACGACCUCGUGGUGAACAGCCAUGGGGUUUGACGGUACCACGUGAGGAAGCCCCGGCUAACUCUGUGCCAGCAGCCGCGGUAAUACAGAGGGGGCAAGCGUUGUUCGGAAUUACUGGGCGUAAAGGGCGCGUAGGCGGCCUACUAAGUCAUACGUGAAAUCCCACGGCUCAACCGUGGAACUGCGUCUGAGACGGGAAGGCUUGAAUUCGGGAGAGGGAUGCGGAAUUCCAGGUGUAGCGGUGAAAUGCGUAGAUA
RNAcentral lists this ribosomal RNA (350 nucleotides) under uncultured bacterium. Its description in RNAcentral is "bacterial SSU rRNA". It matches the Rfam family "Bacterial small subunit ribosomal RNA", at positions 355 to 696 of the family's 1533-position model. The record is from RNAcentral.